CUUGCUCCUCGGGUGACGAGUGGCGGACGGGUGAGUAGUGUCNGGGGAUCUGCCCGAUAGAGGGGGAUAACCACUGGAAACGGUGGCUAAUACCGCAUAACGUCGCAAGACCAAAGAGGGGGACCUUCGGGCCUCUCACUAUCGGAUGAACCCANAUGGGAUUAGCUAGUGGGCGGGGUAACGGCCCACCUANGCGACNAUCCCUAGCUGGUCUGAGAGGAUGACCAGCCACACUGGAACUGANACACGGUCCACACUCCUACGGGANGCAGCAGUGGGGAAUAUUGCACAGUGGGCGCAAGCCUGAUGCACCCAUGCCGCGUGUAUGAANAANGCCUUCGGGUUGUAAAGUACUUUCAGCGGGGAGGAAGGNGAUGUGGUUAAUAACCGCNUUGAUUGACGUUACCCGCAAAAGAAGCACCGGCUAACUCCGUGCCAGCAGCCGCGGUAAUACNGAGGGUGCAAGCGUUAAUCAGAAUUACUGGGCGUAAAGCGCAC
This 498-nucleotide ribosomal RNA is filed under the name Pantoea sp. Its description in RNAcentral is "partial 16S ribosomal RNA". It matches the Rfam family "Bacterial small subunit ribosomal RNA", at positions 75 to 570 of the family's 1533-position model. The record is from RNAcentral. Lineage: Bacteria; Pseudomonadati; Pseudomonadota; Gammaproteobacteria; Enterobacterales; Erwiniaceae.